CACGCAGUAAACGAUGAUUACUUGCUGUUUGCGAUACACAGUAAGCGGCGAAGCGAAAGCGUUAAGUAAUCCACCUGGGGAGUACGUUCGCAAGAAUGAAACUCAAAGGAAUUGACGGGGGCCCGCACAAGCGGAGGAACAUGUGGUUUAAUUCGAUGAUACGCGAGGAACCUUACCCGGGCUUGAAAUGCAUCUGACAGGAGCAGAGACGCUCUCUCCCUUCGGGGCAGAUGUGUAGGUGC
Molecule: ribosomal RNA, 242 nt
Filed under: uncultured Porphyromonadaceae bacterium
Lineage: Bacteria; Pseudomonadati; Bacteroidota; Bacteroidia; Bacteroidales; Porphyromonadaceae
Description: partial 16S ribosomal RNA
Rfam family: Bacterial small subunit ribosomal RNA
Source: RNAcentral